RNAcentral lists this ribosomal RNA (794 nucleotides) under uncultured Escherichia sp. Its description in RNAcentral is "bacterial SSU rRNA". It matches the Rfam family "Bacterial small subunit ribosomal RNA", at positions 10 to 796 of the family's 1533-position model. Lineage: Bacteria; Pseudomonadati; Pseudomonadota; Gammaproteobacteria; Enterobacterales; Enterobacteriaceae. The record is from RNAcentral.
AGUUUGAUCCUGGCUCAGAUUGAACGCUGGCGGCAGGCCUAACACAUGCAAGUCGAACGGUAACAGGAAGAGCUUGCUCUUGCUGACGAGUGGCGGACGGGUGAGUAAUGUCUGGGAAACUGCCUGAUGGAGGGGGAUAACUACUGGAAACGGUAGCUAAUACCGCAUAACGUCGCAAGACCAAAGAGGGGGACCUUCGGGCCUCUUGCCAUCGGAUGUGCCCAGAUGGGAUUAGCUAGUAGGUGGGGUAACGGCUCACCUAGGCGACGAUCCCUAGCUGGUCUGAGAGGAUGACCAGCCACACUGGAACUGAGACACGGUCCAGACUCCUACGGGAGGCAGCAGUGGGGAAUAUUGCACAAUGGGCGCAAGCCUGAUGCAGCCAUGCCGCGUGUAUGAAGAAGGCCUUCGGGUUGUAAAGUACUUUCAGCGGGGAGGAAGGGAGUAAAGUUAAUACCUUUGCUCAUUGACGUUACCCGCAGAAGAAGCACCGGCUAACUCCGUGCCAGCAGCCGCGGUAAUACAGAGGGUGCAAGCGUUAAUCGGAAUUACUGGGCGUAAAGCGCACGCAGGCGGUUUGUUAAGUCAGAUGUGAAAUCCCCGGGCUCAACCUGGGAACUGCAUCUGAUACUGGCAAGCUUGAGUCUCGUAGAGGGGGGUAGAAUUCCAGGUGUAGCGGUGAAAUGCGUAGAGAUCUGGAGGAAUACCGGUGGCGAAGGCGGCCCCCUGGACGAAGACUGACGCUCAGGUGCGAAAGCGUGGGGAGCAAACAGGAUUAGAUACCCUGGUAGUCC